GCCAGAGAGGGAGAACCAAUCAGGAAAAGAGGAUGCAGCAGGCUGGGAUUCUUCUUGCAAGGGAAACUGAAGCUUUAGUCUGGGCAGGCAGCGAGCUGGACUGGUAUCGGAGGAAAAGAAGUCUCUACUUUGGCCGCUGCUGUUUGAGUGUGUCUCCCAGCACCAUAAGGCACAGCCAGAUGGGCUGCCGUUGGUUGCAAGCCUGGAAGAGUCAGAAAGAAACCUGAGGCUGUCAAGGAAGCUUGAAGGUGGGUCUUCAACUCUGGGCCCAGAAGGAGCAUCACCUCCACCUGGCCUUGUCUGGUUCAUCUACAGCC
Molecule: long non-coding RNA, 317 nt
Filed under: Macaca nemestrina (pig-tailed macaque)
Lineage: Eukaryota; Metazoa; Chordata; Mammalia; Primates; Cercopithecidae
Description: lncRNA (ENSMNEG00000046023.1)
Source: RNAcentral